This 225-nucleotide ribosomal RNA is filed under the name uncultured Acinetobacter sp. Its description in RNAcentral is "partial 16S ribosomal RNA". It matches the Rfam family "Bacterial small subunit ribosomal RNA", at positions 568 to 792 of the family's 1533-position model. The record is from RNAcentral. Lineage: Bacteria; Pseudomonadati; Pseudomonadota; Gammaproteobacteria; Moraxellales; Moraxellaceae.
UGCGUAGGCGGCUUCUUAAGUCGGAUGUGAAAUCCCUGAGCUUAACUUAGGAAUUGCAUUCGAUACUGGUUGGCUAGAGUGUGGGAGAGGAUGGUAGAAUUCCAGGUGUAGCGGUGAAAUGCGUAGAGAUAUGGAGGAAGACCGAUGGCGAAGGCAGCCAUCUGGCCUAACACUGACGCUGAGGUGCGAAAGCAUGGGGAGCAAACAGGAUUAGAUACCCGAGUA